GAUCCUGGCUCAGGAUGAACGCUGGCGGCGUGCCUAACACAUGCAAGUCGAACGGAAGAUAAGCGCUUCGGAGACUUCGGUCAAUGUUUGCUUAUCUUAGUGGCGGACGGGUGAGUAACGCGUGGAUAACCUGCCUCAUACAGGGGGAUAACAGUUAGAAAUGACUGCUAAUACCGCAUAAGCGCACGGAAUCGCAUGUUUCUGUGUGAAAAACUGAGGUGGUAUGAGAUGGAUCCGCGUCUGAUUAGCCAGUUGGCAGGGUAACGGCCUACCAAAGCGACGAUCAGUAGCCGGCCUGAGAGGGUGAACGGCCACAUUGGGACUGAGACACGGCCCAAACUCCUACGGGAGGCAGCAGUGGGGGAUAUUGCACAAUGGGGGAAACCCUGAUGCAAGCGACGCCGCGUGAGUGAAGAAGUAUUUCGGUAUGUAAAGCUCUAUCAGCAGGGAAGAAAAUGACGGUACCUGACUAAGAAGCCCCGGCUAACUACGUGCCAGCAGCCGC
RNAcentral lists this ribosomal RNA (505 nucleotides) under uncultured bacterium. RNAcentral describes it as "bacterial SSU rRNA". It matches the Rfam family "Bacterial small subunit ribosomal RNA", at positions 15 to 518 of the family's 1533-position model. The record is from RNAcentral.